This 861-nucleotide long non-coding RNA is filed under the name Gossypium barbadense (sea-island cotton). Its description in RNAcentral is "long non-coding RNA (GBAR_LNC000101)". Lineage: Eukaryota; Viridiplantae; Streptophyta; Magnoliopsida; Malvales; Malvaceae. The record is from RNAcentral.
GCUAAUCUUGUAUUGUUGUAUUUGUUCAUGCACAUUCGAGAACUCGGCAUGGAGUGAAACAUUAGUUUAGAUGCUAUGAUAGCUGUAAUCGGCCCAAUUUGCCCGACCCAUUUUAAAAAAAAACAAUAAUAAAACCAAAAAAUAAAGUCCAAAUUUUUAACAGUCCAAACUUACAGCCCAAAAUACAAAAAUAUACCAAGCCCAAAUCCAAUCAGCCCAAUACCCAUAAUAACUAAACCCUGGUGGCCCAACAACCUAUAAACUAAACUUCACAGGAACCCUAAAUCCAAACAGCCUUGCGCCGCUGUUCCCAUGCGCCACCCUCGCCAUGUACGGCCUCCAGCGCCGCUCGCCUCCGUACACGCCACAUUGCUUCCGUACCUGUGAAAAUGACAAAGAGGACAACAACACAAAAUAGCAAAAAGAAUGUAUUUUUUCUUUUCUUUUUAUUUCGGCUAUAUAAAGCCAUACAAUCACAUUGUAAUGUUUUUUUAUGAAGGCAUACAGAAGCAAUCAAUAGAAAACGAAAGUCUAAGAUCAAAAAAGGUGAUUAUUUUACUUGUUAUUUCUUUUUUUAUUCCAAAAAAAAAAUAAAACAACAAAGGGAAAAGAGGUCUUUACCUGCGCCACGCUGGAGAGAGAGAGAGAAACGAAUCGUUUCUCCUUUCUUUUCAUCGAGUUUGGCCCAACUUACGGGGUUCCGGUAUCGAACCCACCCUCUAUAGGUGACCGGCUUUAAAAAGGGCUGAAAAAGCCCGGUUUUGCAUGCCUCCAACCACCGUCUACGGUGAAGGCUCGCCGGGAUCCUAGGCCUGAGAAUGAGGCGAGAGGGAGAGUCAGAGAGAACUCUCAGUUUUUUUU